RNAcentral lists this ribosomal RNA (490 nucleotides) under uncultured bacterium. Its description in RNAcentral is "partial 16S ribosomal RNA". It matches the Rfam family "Bacterial small subunit ribosomal RNA", at positions 30 to 507 of the family's 1533-position model. The record is from RNAcentral.
AUUGAACGCUGGCGGCAUGCCUUACACAUGCAAGUCGAACGGCAGCAUGAUCUAGCUUGCUAGAUUGAUGGCGAGUGGCGAACGGGUGAGUAAUACAUCGGAACGUGCCCUGUAGUGGGGGAUAACAAGUCGAAAGAUUAGCUAAUACCGCAUACGACCUGAGGGUGAAAGUGGGGGACCGCAAGGCCUCAUGCUAUAGGAGCGGCCGAUGUCUGAUUAGCUAGUUGGUGAGGUAAAGGCUCACCAAGGCGACGAUCAGUAGCUGGUCUGAGAGGACGAUCAGCCACACUGGGACUGAGACACGGCCCAGACUCCUACGGGAGGCAGCAGUGGGGAAUUUUGGACAAUGGGCGAAAGCCUGAUCCAGCAAUGCCGCGUGUGUGAAGAAGGCCUUCGGGUUGUAAAGCACUUUUGUCCGGAAAGAAAUGGCUCUGGUUAAUACCUGGGGUCGAUGACGGUACCGGAAGAAUAAGGACCGGCUAACUACGUG